CCUACGGGCGGCAGCAGUGAGGAAUAUUGGUCAAUGGCCGGAAGGCUGAACCAGCCAAGCCGCGUGAAGGACGAAGGUGCCAAGCAUUGUAAACUUCUUUUGUCAAGGGACAAAAUCAGGCUCGAGAGCCUGACCGAGGGUACUUGAAGAAAAAGCAUAGGCUAACUCCGGGCCAGCAGCCGCGGUAAGACGGAGGAUGCGAGCGUUAUCCGGCUUUAUUGGGUUUAAAGGGUGCGUAGGCGGACUGUUAAGUCAGCGGUAAAAGCCCGGGGCUCAACCCCGUCGUGCCGUUGAAACUGAUGUUCUUGAGUGGGCGAGAAGUAUGCGGAAUGCGUGGUGUAGCGGUGAAAUGCAUAGCUAUCACGCAGAACUCCGAUUGCGAAGGCAGCAUACCGGCGCCCAACUGACGCUGAAGCACGAAAGCGUGGGUAUCGAACAGGAUUAGAUACCCGUGUAGUC
This 459-nucleotide ribosomal RNA is filed under the name uncultured bacterium. RNAcentral describes it as "partial 16S ribosomal RNA". It matches the Rfam family "Bacterial small subunit ribosomal RNA", at positions 338 to 795 of the family's 1533-position model. The record is from RNAcentral.